UAUCUUUGAUUUUAUUGUGAUUUAGGCUGAACUCCUACUCGAACUUCCAAGAGAACAGUUGCUCGAUUGGAUCUUCCAGUGUUUAUCUGAACUUUAUGCUUCGCUACCGGCCUUGAUAAAGUAUUAGCAUCACUAGUAUACACAGACAUGUACAAACUAGACAUAGAGAAAUGCAAAUUCAUUGGUGCAGUAUAGAUACCACUUGCUGGGGGAGUUGAUCGAACAAGAUGCGUUCACUAUAACUAGUUCAUAAGUUUUUUUUGAAGGACAUAUAUCGAGUAGAGAGCUCUUUGGGAGCCUUGAUGAAGUAUAUAAAGUAAUCGGCUCGGCAUUGAGAUUUUAUAGGGCAAGGUUAGUCAGGAAAAACAUGUUGAAAAGAAAUUUGAUUUGUCCGCAGAUAUAUAUGCUUUGUUGUCAUUCAUUCAUAUAGAUUACAGCUCUGUGCUCUCCAUCAAGAAGACGUUUUGUUUGAUUAAUAGGGCAAACAUUCAAAUGCUCCCUAAGUUAUAUGUUGAUAAUAAAAUACACAACUCUUAAACUUCAA
Molecule: long non-coding RNA, 544 nt
Organism: Salvia splendens (bonfire salvia)
Lineage: Eukaryota; Viridiplantae; Streptophyta; Magnoliopsida; Lamiales; Lamiaceae
Exons: 2
Source: RefSeq, a predicted model, not a curated record